RNAcentral lists this long non-coding RNA (347 nucleotides) under Rattus norvegicus (Norway rat). Its description in RNAcentral is "long non-coding RNA NONRATT015109". The record is from RNAcentral. Lineage: Eukaryota; Metazoa; Chordata; Mammalia; Rodentia; Muridae.
CAAGAAGAGAGACCAAGAGCAGGUGGAGGCGGAGGGCGAGAGCUCAGCGCCACCCCGUAAGGUGGCCGGGACUGACAGCCCCGACAUGCCCGAGGACACCUAGGUCCUGUGAAUCACCCAUCGUCUGUCAGCUGUGUCCGCUCCCACCCAGGUGUGUAAGCGCAGUCCGCCUCCUACAUCCAGUCCACGCCCUCCAAUCUCAUAGGACCCAUGUAUUUAUUUUCCUUGAGUUUAUUCAUGCUGUAACUCGUGUCAAGCAUUGGUUAAAGGGACAUCAAGCCCAGCCGCGAGGUGUCGGUAGAUGCUUUUUAAAGCACAGUGGUGUCCCCCACCUGCAGCAAGACCUC